GACGAACGCUGGCGGCGUGCCUAAUACAUGCAAGUUGAGCGCUGAAGGUUGGUACUUGUACCAACUGGAUGAGCAGCGAGCGGGUGAGUAACGCGUGGGGAAUCUGCCUUUGAGCGGGGGACAACAUUUGGAAACGAAUGCUAAUACCGCAUAAAAACUUUAAACACAAGUUUUAAGUUUGAAAGAUGCAAUUGCAUCACUCAAAGAUGAUCCCGCGUUGUAUUAGCUAGUUGGUGAGGUAAAGGCUCACCAAGGCGAUGAUACAUAGCCGACCUGAGAGGGUGAUCGGCCACAUUGGGAAUGGGACACGGCCCAAACUCCUACGGGAGGCGGCAGUAGGGAAUCUUCGGCAAUGGACGAAAGUCUGACCGAGCAGCGCGGCGUGAGGGAAGAAGGUUUUCGGAUCGUAAAACUCUGUUGGUAGAGAAGAACGUUGGUGAGAGUGGAAAGCUCAUCAAGUGACGGUAACUACCCAGAAAGGGACGGCUAACUACGUG
This 497-nucleotide ribosomal RNA is filed under the name uncultured bacterium. RNAcentral describes it as "partial 16S ribosomal RNA". It matches the Rfam family "Bacterial small subunit ribosomal RNA", at positions 28 to 507 of the family's 1533-position model. The record is from RNAcentral.